UACGUAGGGGGCAAGCGUUGUCCGGAUUUAUUGGGCGUAAAGAGCGUGUAGGCGGCUAGACAGGUCCGCUGUGAAAACUCGAGGCUCAACCUCGGGCCUGCAGUGGGUACGGGCAGACUAGAGUGCGAUAGGGGAGAUUGGAAUUCCUGGUGUAGCGGUGGAAUGCGCAGAUAUCAGGAGGAACACCAAUGGCGAAGGCAGAUCUCUGGGCCGUAACUGACGCUGAGGAGCGAAAGCAUGGGGAGCGAACAGG
Molecule: ribosomal RNA, 253 nt
Filed under: uncultured bacterium
Lineage: Bacteria
Description: partial 16S ribosomal RNA
Rfam family: Bacterial small subunit ribosomal RNA
Source: RNAcentral